RNAcentral lists this ribosomal RNA (437 nucleotides) under uncultured Rhodobacter sp. RNAcentral describes it as "bacterial SSU rRNA". It matches the Rfam family "Bacterial small subunit ribosomal RNA", at positions 8 to 489 of the family's 1533-position model. Lineage: Bacteria; Pseudomonadati; Pseudomonadota; Alphaproteobacteria; Rhodobacterales. The record is from RNAcentral.
AGAGUUUGAUCAUGGCUCAGAAUGAACGCUGGCGGCAGGCCUAACACAUGCAAGUCGAGCGGGCACCUUCGGGUGCUAGCGGCGGACGGGUGAGUAACGCGUGGGAACAUACCCUUUGGUACGGAAUAGCCUCGGGAAACUGAGAGUAAUACCGUAUGUGGUCGUAAGACGAAAGAUUUAUCGCCAAAGGAUUGGCCCGCGUUGGAUUAGGUAGUUGGUGGGGUAAUGGCCUACCAAGCCGACGAUCCAUAGCUGGUUUGAGAGGAUGAUCAGCCACACUGGGACUGAGACACGGCCCAGACUCCUACGGGAGGCAGCAGUGGGGAAUCUUAGACAAUGGGCGCAAGCCUGAUCUAGCCAUGCCGCGUGAUCGAUGAAGGCCUUAGGGUUAUAAAGAUCUUUCAGUGGGGAAGAUAAUGACGGUACCCACAGAAGAG